AUUGAACGCUGGCGGAAUGCUUUACACAUGCAAGUCGAGCGGCAGCGCGGGGCAACCUGGCGGCGAGCGGCGAACGGGUGAGUAAUACAUCGGAACGUGCCCAGACGUGGGGGAUAACUACUCGAAAGAGUGGCUAAUACCGCAUACGAUCUAAGGAUGAAAGCGGGGGAUCGCAAGACCUCGCGCGUUUGGAGCGGCCGAUGGCAGAUUAGGUAGUUGGUGGGGUAAAGGCUUACCAAGCCCGCGAUCUGUAGCUGGUCUGAGAGGAUGAUCAGCCACACUGGGACUGAGACACGGCCCAGACUCCUACGGGAGGCAGCAGUGGGGAAUUUUGGGACAAUGGGCGAAAGCCUGAUCCAGCCAUUCCGCGUGCAGGAUGAAGGCCCUCGGGUUGUAAACUGCUUUUGUACAGAACGAAAAAGACUCUUUCUAAUACAGAGAGUCCAUGACGGUACUGUAAGAAUAAGCAACCGGCUAACUACGUGCCAGCAGCCGCGGUAAU
RNAcentral lists this ribosomal RNA (502 nucleotides) under uncultured bacterium. RNAcentral describes it as "bacterial SSU rRNA". It matches the Rfam family "Bacterial small subunit ribosomal RNA", at positions 30 to 524 of the family's 1533-position model. The record is from RNAcentral.